CAACCCCAUCCCCAUCCCCAACGCAACCCCAUUCCCAUCCCAAACCCAACCCCAUUCCCAACCUAACCCCAUCCCCAUUCUCAUCCCCACUCCCAACCCAACCCCAAUUCCCAUCCCCACCCCAUUCCCAUCCCCAACCCAACCCCAUCCCCAUUCCCAACCCCAUUCCCAUCCCCAACCCAUCUCCAUUCCCAAACAGCCAGCUUCAAAAAGUAGAAACACCAUCGACUUCACAAACAUACUGCAAAAAUACACUUCUCAAACGACGCAAUCACUUCUCACUUGUAAAACUAUAAUCGCUGCGAGUACGAUGAAUACAGUAUUAUGGGCUGCAAAGCGUGCCGUAAGGCUGCUGUGUUCGGAUAAGAGACCCUCAGCAGAAGAACAGCACAGUUAGAAAACACCAGAGAAACCAGGGCCUGCACACAGGGCUGGAUUGUCUCACGCUGGGGUAGGCUGGGAUGCAAUGGGCCGGCAUCGGGAUGCUCCCUUCCGUCCUCAUUCCACAAUGAUCUCUGUCCAAGGAUGAGCAGAUGCCCAGAAGUCAUGGCCGAGUGCUGAGCGAGCAAGUGGGAGAAGUGAAUUAAUUAGCCAUAGACAUGGUUAGCUAGCAGCAACUGACGUUCAGCCAGUACCUCUGUGUUUGGUGGAGCUCAGUCCUCCAGCACCCCAGUAUCUGAGCACCCAAGUCCUCAUCCCAGUAUCCCAGCACCCCAGUCCCCCCGUAUCUCAUUAUCACAGCACCCCAGUCCUCCAGCACCCCAGUAUUCCAGUCCUCCAGUACCUGAGCACCCCAGUCCUCCAGCACCCCAGUAUCUGAGCACCCAAGUCCUCCAGUAUCCCAUUAUACUGGCACCCCAGUGCCCCGUAUCCCAUUAUCACAGCACCCCAGUCCUCCAGCACCCCAGUAUUCCAGUCCUCCAGUACCUGAGCACCCCAGUCCUCCAGCACCCCAGUAUCUGAACACCCCAGUCCUCCAGUAUCCCAUUACGGCAGCACCCCAGUCCUCCAACACCCCAUUCCUCCACCAUCCCGGCCCCCCGGUCCUCCAGCACCCCAAUAUCCCAGUUCUCCAGCACCCCAGUAUCCCAGCACCUCAGUCCCCCAGCACCCCAGUCCCCCAGCACCCCAGUCCCCCAGCACCCCAGCAUCCCAGUCCCCGAGCACUCCAAUCCUCCAACAUCCCAGUGUUCCAAUGCCCUAAUCUUCCAGUAUCCUAUUAUUCCAGGCCCCAAGUCCUCCAGUACCCCAGCCGUCCAGCACCCCAGUCCUCCAAUAUCCCAUUAUUCCAGCACCCCAGUCCUCCAACACCCCAAUAUCCCAGUCCUCCAGCACCCCAAUAUCUGAGCACCCCAGUCCUCCAGUAUCCCAUUAUCCCGGCACCCCAGUCCUCCAGCAUCCCAGCACUCCAAUCCUCCAGCAUCCCAUUAUUCCAGGCCCCAAGUCCUCCAGCACCCCAGCUCCACAGUCCUCCAGCACCCCAGUCUCCGAGCACCCGAGUCCUCCAGUAUCCCAUUAUCCCGGCACCCCAGCCCCCCAGUUCCUAGUCCUCCAGCCCCCCAGCACCCCAGUAUCCCCUCCCCCCUCACACGGCGGCUCCGUUCCUCUCCGCUCCGCUGCGGCCCCUCCGCUCGCAGGCGCAUCUCUCCCCUUUGACUUCCGCUUCCGGGUCACCCUAACGGUCGAGGGCGAUCACUUCCGGCUCACAGCGCGGGAAGGAGGAGGGGAGCAAGGGCGAGCGGCGCAUGCGCGGCAGGGAGAGGAGGGGGCGUGGCCUAGGGGAAAGGGGCGUGGCCUGGGAGAGGCCACGGAGGCAGAGGGAGGGGGGGGAAUGGAAGCGGAUAUUAUGGGAUGGAAAUGG
Numida meleagris (helmeted guineafowl) is the source of this 1861-nucleotide long non-coding RNA. The record is from Ensembl. NCBI's taxonomy places the organism in Eukaryota, Metazoa, Chordata, Aves, Galliformes, Numididae.